AUAUAUGUACUAUUUACAACAUGAGCGGCCGUGUUGUAUCGGAUAUACAAACUCGAGCCGAAGGCGAGAGUUUGUAUAUCCGAUACAACACGGACGCGAAUGUUGUAAAUGACUUAAAAAACGACUCAUCUUAUGAGUUCAUUGGCGAAGUAAUUUUAAAAAUAAACGUUGUCUAAGCCGAGAAAAUCAAAGUUAAAGUUUAUGUAAAUCAACAUGAAUCUGUAUCACAUAUACAGAUACGACACGCUUAUGAUUUUUCUUUGUGUUUUCGUCAUGAAUUAUUAAUGAGUUUUUUAAAUAUAUAU
This is a non-coding RNA of Paramuricea clavata, 305 nucleotides long. The record is from the annotation of a GenBank genome assembly. Lineage: Eukaryota; Metazoa; Cnidaria; Anthozoa; Malacalcyonacea; Plexauridae.